RNAcentral lists this ribosomal RNA (253 nucleotides) under uncultured bacterium. RNAcentral describes it as "partial 16S ribosomal RNA". It matches the Rfam family "Bacterial small subunit ribosomal RNA", at positions 524 to 776 of the family's 1533-position model. The record is from RNAcentral.
UACGGAGGGUGCGAGCGUUGUCCGGAUUUAUUGGGUUUAAAGGGUGCGUAGGUGGUUUAGUAAGUCUGGUUUGAAAGUCAGUCGCUUAACGAUUGAGGGUGGCUGGAUACUGCUGAACUUGAAUGCCCUGGAGGUAGGUGGAACGGGUUGUGUAGCGGUGAAAUGCAUAGAUAUGACCCAGAACCCCAAUUGCGAAGGCAGCCUACUACGGGGUGAUUGACACUGAGGCACGAGAGCAUGGGGAGCAAACAGG